This 1282-nucleotide small RNA is filed under the name Pan troglodytes (chimpanzee). Its description in RNAcentral is "retained intron". The record is from RNAcentral. Lineage: Eukaryota; Metazoa; Chordata; Mammalia; Primates; Hominidae.
AAACGGACAUGUUGAAGACCAGCGCUGCCGCCGCCUCCUUUUCCUCAUCCUGCGAACGGGACUGAGAGGGGGCCCGCCACCUCUCCGCCUCUGCCUCGGCCGCCCGCCUCGCCGCUUCGGCCGCAGCCUCUUCCUGCCCGGGCCUCGGACUCCGCCGCUCGUCGCCUCCCCCCGGCCACCAGGCCCGGCUGGUUUCCCGGCCCCGCUCCGCCGCGGCGCGAGGUCUAUGUGACCGGCGGGCCCGGAGCAGCCGCCGCCGCAGCGCGAACAUGGACGCCGUCAACGCCUUCAACCAGGAGCUCUUUUCGCUUAUGGAUAUGAAACCUCCCAUCUCUAGAGCCAAGAUGAUUCUCAUCACUAAAGCUGCUAUUAAAGCUAUUAAGCUUUAUAAGCAUGUAGUUCAAAUAGUAGAAAAGUUCAUCAAAAAGUGUAAACCAGAAUACAAGGUUCCGGGAUUAUAUGUAAUUGACUCAAUUGUGCGACAGUCUCGUCAUCAGUUUGGAACUGAUAAAGAUGUUUUUGGGCCAAGAUUCUCUAAAAACAUAACUGCCACAUUCCAAUAUUUAUAUCUUUGUCCAUCUGAAGAUAAGAGUAAAAUAGUUCGUGUGCUGAACCUUUGGCAAAAAAAUGGAGUGUUCAAAAUUGAAAUUAUUCAACCUCUUUUGGACAUGGCAGCAGGAACCAGUAAUGCAGCCCCAGUAGCAGAAAAUGUUACCAAUAAUGAAGGCUCACCUCCACCUCCAGUAAAAGUUUCUUCUGAACCUCCCACACAAGCCACUCCAAACUCCGUCCCAGCUGUACCACAGUUGCCCAGCUCUGAUGCUUUUGCUGCUGUGGCUCAGCUGUUUCAGACAACUCAAGGCCAACAGCUUCAGCAGAUCCUUCAGACUUUUCAACAGCCUCCAAAACCACAGUCUCCUGCCCUUGACAAUGCCGUGAUGGCUCAGGUUCAGGCUAUCACAGCUCAGUUAAAGACAACUCCUACACAACCAUCUGAACAAAAAGCUGCUUUCCCCCCACCUGAACAGAAAACUGCAUUUGACAAGGUAUAUUUCUCUCACAUAACCCACCCCACCAUUUAUAUCACUCAACUUGAAUUAUGGAAAUUAUCACUUCUGUAUCCCUUCUGUGGAUUGUUCAUUAUGUCGUUUUGUAAUUUGAGAGAUUUUCCCCCUCAACAUGAAAAUAUCGAUUAUUUUCCCUGGUUUUAAAUGUGAUAUGUGCUCAGUGCAAAAAUUUCCAGGGUUUGAAGCUGAAUUUACUAGUGUAAAAUGAAAAAAGU